Molecule: ribosomal RNA, 307 nt
Filed under: uncultured fungus
Lineage: Eukaryota; Fungi
Description: eukaryotic LSU rRNA
Rfam family: 5.8S ribosomal RNA (bases 1-52)
Source: RNAcentral
AACGCAUCUUGCGCUCCUUGGUAUUCCGAGGAGCAUGUCUGUCUGAGUGUCAUGAAAUUCUCAACCCUUUGAUUUAUUUUGAAGGGCUUGGAUCAUGAGCGCUGCAGGCCCCAGCUGGGGUCAGCUCGCUCGAAAUAGAUCAGCGGUUAACCUUAGGUUUGCUGGCCUGACUCGACGUGGUAGAGUGACUUUAUUCGUCGAGGAUCCCUGCUUGCGGGGAGCCACUGAACUUUGAGGCCGCUCCUAAUUGCGUAUGCACUCUUUUGGUUUAGACCUCAGAUCAGGCAGGACUACCCGCUGAACUUAA